Molecule: ribosomal RNA, 253 nt
Filed under: uncultured bacterium
Lineage: Bacteria
Description: partial 16S ribosomal RNA
Rfam family: Bacterial small subunit ribosomal RNA
Source: RNAcentral
UACGUAGGGGGCAAGCGUUGUCCGGAAUCAUUGGGCGUAAAGCGCGUGUAGGCGGCCCGAUAAGUCCGCUGUGAAAGUCCAGGGCUCAACCCUGGGAUGCCGGUGGAUACUGUCGGGCUCGAGUCCGGAAGAGGAGUGUGGAAUUCCUGGUGUAGCGGUGAAAUGCGCAGAUAUCAGGAGGAACACCCGUGGCUAAGGCGGCUCUCUGGGACGGUACUGACGCUGAGACGCGAAAGCGUGGGGAGCGAACAGG